Molecule: transfer RNA, 134 nt
Filed under: Caudoviricetes sp.
Lineage: Duplodnaviria; Heunggongvirae; Uroviricota; Caudoviricetes
Description: tRNA-OTHER
Rfam family: tRNA
About the family: Transfer RNA (tRNA) molecules are approximately 80 nucleotides in length. Their secondary structure includes four short double-helical elements and three loops (D, anti-codon, and T loops).
Source: RNAcentral
GGGGAAGUAGCUCAAUAGUAGAGCCGCCUGCUAUGUGGGCGAGUGUUGCGGGGAUAAAAACUAAUCACUUUUAGACUGCCGGUAACAUAGGGUGUGAUUAACCUGAGGUGUGAGUGCAAAUCCCACCUUCUCCA